UACAGGGGGGGCAAGCGUUGUUCGGAAUUACUGGGCGUGAAGGGCUCGUAGGUGGCCCACUAAGUCAGACGUGAAAUCCCUCAGCUUAACUGGGGAACUGCGUCUGAUACUGGAUGGCUUGAGUUUGGGAGAGGGAUGCGGAAUUCCAGGUGUAGCGGUGAAAUGCGUAGAUAUCUGGAGGAACACCGGUGGCGAAGGCGGGUCUCUGGGCCGAUACUGACGCUGAGGAGCGAAAGCGUGGGGAGCGAACAGG
Molecule: ribosomal RNA, 253 nt
Filed under: uncultured bacterium
Lineage: Bacteria
Description: partial 16S ribosomal RNA
Rfam family: Bacterial small subunit ribosomal RNA
Source: RNAcentral